AGAGUUUGAUCCUGGCUCAGGACGAACGCUGGCGGCGUGCUUAACACAUGCAAGUCGAACGGUAAGGCCCCAGCUUGCUGGGGUACACGAGUGGCGAACGGGUGAGUAACACGUGGGUGACCUGCCCCGCACUUCGGGAUAAGCCUGGGAAACUGGGUCUAAUACCGGAUAGGACCGCACCGUGAGGGUGUGGUGGAAAGUUUUUCGGUGUGGGAUGGGCCCGCGGCCUAUCAGCUUGUUGGUGGGGUAAUGGCCUACCAAGGCGGCGACGGGUAGCCGGCCUGAGAGGGUGGACGGCCACAUUGGGACUGAGACACGGCCCAGACUCCUACGGGAGGCAGCAGUGGGGAAUAUUGCACAAUGGGCGGAAGCCUGAUGCAGCGACGCCGCGUGGGGGAUGACGGCCUUCGGGUUGUAAACUCCUUUCACCAUCGACGAAGGUUUUCUGACGGUAGAUGGAGAAGAAGCACCGGCUAACUACGUGCCAGCAGCCGCGGUAAUACGUAGGGUGCGAGCGUUGUCCGGAAUUACUGGGCGUAAAGAGCUCGUAGGUGGUUUGUCGCGUCGUCUGUGAAAUUCCGGGGCUUAACUCCGGGCGUGCAGGCGAUACGGGCAUAACUUGAGUACUGUAGGGGAGACUGGAAUUCCUGGUGUAGCGGUGAAAUGCGCAGAUAUCAGGAGGAACACCGGUGGCGAAGGCGGGUCUCUGGGCAGUAACUGACGCUGAGGAGCGAAAGCAUGGGUAGCGAACAGGAUUAGAUACCCUGGUAGUCCAUGCCGUAAACGGUGGGCGCUAGGUGUAGGGGUCUUCCACGACUUCUGUGCCGUAGCUAACGCAUUAAGCGCCCCGCCUGGGGAGUA
This 861-nucleotide ribosomal RNA is filed under the name uncultured Corynebacterium sp. Its description in RNAcentral is "bacterial SSU rRNA". It matches the Rfam family "Bacterial small subunit ribosomal RNA", at positions 8 to 882 of the family's 1533-position model. Lineage: Bacteria; Bacillati; Actinomycetota; Actinomycetes; Mycobacteriales; Corynebacteriaceae. The record is from RNAcentral.